CCUCACCAGAUCGGCACAAUCUUCAGACAGCACGGCUUUUGGCCUUACUACCAUUACAAAACCUGGAGCUCAAGGAUAGAAAGGGAGCCCUAAAUCCGCCGGCAGAGAAGGCAGCUGACAGCCCCCAGCCCCGCGAGAGGGGGGGCACACCCGCUGCGGGACCCAUCUCUGCUUAAUGGAGGGGGUGUCAUCCCCGGUACCGCAUCGCAUCCCGCAUCCCGGAGAGGCGGCGGUCGCCGCGCACCCCCACCCUUCUCCCCUACCUUCUCCUGAGCCCGGGUCAGCUUCUUCUGGACGUUACUCGCGAUUUUCCCGGCGGUGACCCCCUUGCUGCCCAGCUCAGCCAUCUUGCCUCCUCUUUUUUAACGGGCUGCUGGCGAACGACGGGCCGGCAGGAAAGGAGGGGGGGGGGGGGAAGAAG
Long non-coding RNA from Calypte anna (Anna's hummingbird), 421 nucleotides. RefSeq lists it as uncharacterized. The record is from RefSeq and is a predicted model, not a curated record. NCBI's taxonomy places the organism in Eukaryota, Metazoa, Chordata, Aves, Apodiformes, Trochilidae. The transcript is spliced from 2 exons.